ACACAGCUAGCAAGUGCUCCUCAAAAGUGUGGUUCCUUGACCAGCAGCGUCAGCGUCAUCGGAUAAUUUGUGAGAAAUGAAGAUUCUUGGGCCCCACCCCAGACCUAAAUAAUCCGAAACUCUGGGGAUGGGGCCCAGCAAUUUUAUCUUUAAAAGCCCUCCGGGUGAUUCUGGUGCAUACUCCACUUUGAGAACCACUGAACGAGUAGAGACAGAAUCCAAAUAAGAGCUGAAAGCAGUCCAAGGGAUAGAAAUGAGACCAGGGUACAUCCAGGUGGCUCCCCAUGGCCUCUUGUGUCAGUGCCCAGAGAAGCAUCCCUCAGAGUUUGGUGACGUUGGCAGCCAGCGGGCAGGAAGACGUCUGCCAGAAUGGAGGAGUGCAGAACUGCAGGUUGGCCGCCUUUGGACCCCGGGCACGGCACACCCAGAAACAACAAAAAUACCUCGUAA
Molecule: long non-coding RNA, 450 nt
Organism: Aethalodelphis obliquidens (Pacific white-sided dolphin)
Lineage: Eukaryota; Metazoa; Chordata; Mammalia; Artiodactyla; Delphinidae
Exons: 2
Source: RefSeq, a predicted model, not a curated record